UUUUUAGCCAUUGAAUUAAAGAAUGUGCGGUUAGAAUAGUGUGAGACCCUAGGGUUUAGUGGGUGGUUGGUUGGAUAGUAUGAUUUAACAGAUGAAAAUGAUCAAAAGAAUAGAUAUAUUAGUAAAUAAUUUACAAGCACCAAGUAGUUGGUGUUUUUACAAACACUAAAACAAAAUUGUCUUUUAGACAUAAUUUAAUAAUGUCGAUUAUUGAACAGCCACUAUUAUUUAUUAUUUAAUUGUACUUUAGCAACAAUUAUUUUAAACUACGUAUCUUUACCGACUAAUAUUUAUAUAUUAAAUAUAUUUACUUUGAGCACUAAUUCAAUCCUAACCCAAACCCUUACCCUCAUCCUCACCUU
This 362-nucleotide long non-coding RNA is filed under the name Ananas comosus (pineapple). RNAcentral describes it as "long non-coding RNA (ACOM_LNC042847)". The record is from RNAcentral. Lineage: Eukaryota; Viridiplantae; Streptophyta; Magnoliopsida; Poales; Bromeliaceae.